GGACUACUAGGGUUUCUAAUCCCGUUCGCUCCCCUGGCUUUCGCGCCUCAGCGUCAGAAGAGGUCCAGCACGCCGCUUUCGCCACCGGCGUUCCUUCCGAUAUCUACGCAUUUCACCGCUCCACCGGAAGUUCCGCAUGCCCCUGCCUCCCUCGAGACGAUCAGUAUCGAAGGCACGUUUCCAGUUAAGCUGAAAGAUUUCACCCCCGACUUGACCGUCCGCCUACGCGCCCUUUAAGCCCAGUGAAUCCGAACAACGUUCGCACGGUUCGUCUUACCGCGGCUGCUGGCAC
This 292-nucleotide ribosomal RNA is filed under the name uncultured Planctomycetota bacterium. Its description in RNAcentral is "uncultured planctomycete partial 16S ribosomal RNA". Lineage: Bacteria; Pseudomonadati; Planctomycetota. The record is from RNAcentral.